This 491-nucleotide ribosomal RNA is filed under the name uncultured bacterium. RNAcentral's name for it is "partial 16S ribosomal RNA". It matches the Rfam family "Bacterial small subunit ribosomal RNA", at positions 28 to 507 of the family's 1533-position model. The record is from RNAcentral.
GAUGAACGCUGGCUACAGGCUUAACACAUGCAAGUCGAGGGGAAACGACGGGGAAGCUUGCUUCCCCGGGCGUCGACCGGCGCACGGGUGAGUAACGCGUAUCCAACCUGCCUCUGACUGAGGGAUAACCCGUCGAAAGUCGGCCUAAUACCUCAUGGUAUCGUCUGCGGGCAUCCAACGACGAUUAAAGAUUUCAUCGGUCAGGGAUGGGGAUGCGUCUGAUUAGCUUGUUGGCGGGGUAACGGCCCACCAAGGCUACGAUCAGUAGGGGUUCUGAGAGGAAGGUCCCCCACAUUGGAACUGAGACACGGACCAAACUCCUACGGGAGGCAGCAGUGAGGAAUAUUGGUCAAUGGGCGAGAGCCUGAACCAGCCAAGUAGCGUGCAGGAAGACGGCCCUAUGGGUUGUAAACUGCUUUUAUGCGGGGAUAAAGUGAGGGACGUGUCACUCAUUGCAGGUACCGCAUGAAUAAGGACCGGCUAAUUCCGUG